Molecule: long non-coding RNA, 4357 nt
Organism: Musa acuminata AAA Group (dessert banana)
Lineage: Eukaryota; Viridiplantae; Streptophyta; Magnoliopsida; Zingiberales; Musaceae
Exons: 3
Source: RefSeq, a predicted model, not a curated record
AUUUACCGCUCUACCACAAAGCGAUGUACUCGAGAAAUCGUAGUAGGAAGGUCUAAUUCUAACCCGAAGGUCCUGGAAACGGAGGGUUUUGUUUGGCGAGAAGAUGGAGCUCGCGCUCGUCGCCGGCGACAACAAGCGCCGCAUCAUCCAACAGCUUGGUUUCCAUUCAGAUAACACCGUUGAAUCGUUUGUGCUUUCUGUUGUUUCUUUUGUUUGAAGCAAAACCUUGCAUUUAUAAGUUUCUUAGCGUCUCUUAUUUCUUAUGUUUUCAGUGAAAAAGGGAUUUUUUUUCGUAGGUGUUGUAUGUGAUUUCACGGACAUGUUUUUUUGAAUAAUUUCCGUUCAUAUUUUCUUCCCUUUCCCUUCGGAAUUCCCAGAAUCUGGAUCUUUUUUCUUCCUUUUUUUGUGGUGUUUUUGGGACAUCCCUGGGACUAGUAGAAUGAAAGAAAAGAGUGUAAUUCCAAUGAAAAGAGCGUUUCUUUAUUGUUGAUUGUUACAUAGUGAUAAAUGCGAGAAGCUGGGUGUCUCCGGUAAGUUCUGAUAAUACUGGUAAAUUGGAAUUAACAUGCAGAAAUUUGGAUCAAGUUUUAAUAUGAAUCCAAGCAACAAGAAGAAGUUGUAAUUCACCAGUUUACUGGGUAUAGUUCUAAUUUUAGAUUGCAAAGAUGAUGGAAGAGAAAGGUGGGUGGGUCGGUAACUUGCGAUGAUUAUCUCGACGGAUGUGAAAUGGGCAUGACAAGUCGUCACCAUAGUUACCAUGCUUUUCAACAUUACAUGGGAGUAGGGUACCGAGAAAGAGCAUGACUGUCAGAGCACAGGGAUCAAGUUUUUCUUUUUGUAAAUUUAAAGGUGGUUGAGAGGCAAUGCUAAUUGUUUUACAUAAUUAAUUAAUCAAGAAAAAGAAGGCAGGAACAGAAAUAAGUUGACAAUACUGUCCAUCAAAAUCUUUGUGUUGGGUCAAGCAUCAUGAUUCAAUAGUCAAAAAAUUUUCUUACGAUUGUGUACAUGGAAUAUCACUCUUUGAUUUCGACACAAUUGAAUUUGGAAAACACCAAAACUGACAUGUAAAGACUCCUUUUCGAAAGAAAGAGGAAAUAUCCUGUGAUCAUCUGGCUAAUGUUAAGGCAUGUUAUUGUCUUCUUUCUUGCUUCUGCUUUAAGAGAGAAUUUGCAUUACUAUAUACCUUUCAAGAUUAUUUGACUGCUUCUGUUCACAGUUAUCAAAAUAGAGGACUUCCUUGGCCAGAGCAUGAAUGUCAGAUUUUAGGGAUCUAGUUUUUAUAUAUUUUUAAUGUGGUUGAAAGAAAAUUCUAGUUGUUUUAUAGAUAUUUUAGCUAUGGUUGGUUUGAAAAUGUCAAAUUUUAUUAAAAGAAGAGAAGCAGAGCAGUAAGACCAUGAGAAUCAUGUUUACUAUCCUUUAAUUUGGCCAAGAAUUAUGAACAUGACUUAAUUGACAUAAAAUUGAUCUCUAUCAAUCUUGUAUGUGGACUAUAAUCUUUGCUUUGGAUGGUACUGAAAUUAUUUACAAAUGGAUCUAACACAUCAAAUUAUUGGAUGGUAAGGAAAGUUUUCCCUUUGAAAGGAGGAGACCGGAGAUCCCAAUUACAUGUAACGAUUAGCAGCUACCUGGCUACAAUGAGGAACCAUACUUUUCUCAUCUUUUUUUUAUUUUUUAUUUAAGAGUCAUUUGCAUUGUUAUCUCCUUGGUAUUAGAUAUUUGGCCCUUUUUUCUUCUCUCUUCACCCUUUCUUCUUUUUUGCUUGUCUUUUGGGGGGUUACUCUAUCACUGCAAUUGAACUGAACCGGUAAUUUAACAUUUUGCCUUAGUUAUUUUCUUUUAAUUUAAUUUAAUUUUUAUUUUGAUCAUCUCUUUAUUUUACAAUGUAUGAUUUCCACUUUCUAAUGCCUUCUGCCAAAUAGGUUGUGCUACAAAUAGAUCUCCAUGUUUAAGAUGGCAUUUGCAUUAUCAAAAUGAUCGGAGCUAUUGUGGAAAAUUAGCUGACAUAAUUAGGUAGCUUUUCGUAGACUCAUAAGAUGAAUAUCCUGGUCAACAAUUUUCUCCGAAGACCUAAAGUAAGCGAAAGACAAAAUAGCAGGAUAGGUUUAAAUCAAGAAGAACCACUUGCACUAUAAUCAAUGGGCCAUAUACAACCAAAAAUCAUGUUGUUUGGAGAUCAUGUACGUUAAAUAUUCAUACUUGCCAUUAUUGUUCAAUGCUAUGUUUCUUCGAAUUUGACCAUUGUUACAUGAAGGCCAUGUACAACAUCCAUCAAAAUUGAUACUUUUUAUAUGCAAAUUGAGAAGUAAUUUCUAGUUGUUCAACACAUGUUUUAUGAUCUCAUUUCACAAAGUUUCCAUUUCUCUCUUGGAGACAGCCUUGAUUCUUCUUACAGGUGUUAGUCACACAAGAUCAAUCUUAUUUGAAGUUAAUAAAUUAUCUCAAAGUUGUUUAUGUGGCAUAUUGACUUGCAAUUUCUGACAGUGUUGUUUGUUAGAAUCAUGAUUAUUCUGUAGGACUUCACUGGAAUCUUGAAUAUUCAAAGAACUUCAAUAACGUGGACAAGUCAAUUAUGCAAUCCUAUUCCUGCAAGUACAAAGGCUACUUUUGUGACUUUAACUGUGGUCAUCCAACAAAUUUACUAUAGUGCCAAAACUUAUCCCCAAUACAUGAAUAAUUACGUUCCUCUAAAUUUUAGAAAAAGGAAUAUGACCAAUUUCUGAAUGUUAGACUGUAUAGAAAUCUAAGUCAUAAACUUUGAGAUCAGCAUUGAUGUUUGAGAUGGGAUCAGGAUUAUGCAUCUAGCAUUGAACUUGCAUCAUGUAGAGCAGACCAGCUAUGUUUGUUCAUUUCUUUUUCUCCCAGAGGGCAACCCUGCAUCUAAUGCAUCUAACAUCACUGAUUGACAUCUAUGUAAAGUCUAGCUUGUCCAUUUCUUUUUGUGCUCUUUGUAAGCAUGUUCAUGGACUCAUAUUUACAAGGUAUAAUUGGCAUAUCCCAUAUUGGCACGAGCAUAUGUUCCGUCCUUUCUUUUCUAUUGGCAGAAAUUUUAACCUAGUGUUGCAUGUCUAGUUAGUUUGUUUUGUUUUUUGGUUUAAAGUUCCAGAAAUGCAAGAUGUUACUGUUCUGCACUUCUCUGGCAAUGUGGAGCAAGUUAAUUUUGUAAUUUUACUGCUCUCAGAAGGUGCUGUCUAAAUUACAUGUUUUUCAUACAGCUACUUGUGAACUGCUAAUAGUUUUUUUUCUUGCUGAAGUGAAUCAAGCCUGUUAUUCUCCAAUCUGUGGAAAAAGUCUUUGUACCCCAUAUUUAGUGUUCUCUUUGAUUGCUUGCUGCUGUAGCCACAUGGAAUCAGAUUCUGUGAAAAUUGCUGUUGAAGGAGUUUGAAUUGUGUAAGAAGGAAAACUAUGAUUUGUUUAUCAUGGACACAAGCAAGCAACACAAACAGGAAACUUUUCUUUUUAAAGAAAUGCAUCAAGUGUCAGAAGCAACAGUAGAUAAUUGUUCCUUUCAAUCAUAAUAUUCAACUUACAGUUGUUCUGUGAACAGAAAUUGGCCAAUUGUCCUUGCUCUUUUUCUCUGAAAUCGAUCUUAAUAUUUGUCAUGGACUGCAGCUGUUGAUGUAGCACAAGCUUUCUUGCAAACCUAGCAGUUGGAGCUUUGGUGAAGCAGAAGGAGCUGAUGCAUUUAGUGUGCAAGCCAUCUGUUGAUGAACUUGGUAUACUGUCAUGUGGAGGUCUUGUCUUCCUACCUGGUUUAAUGCCCAAGUGAUCCCUAAAGGCCAUGAAAAGGAAUGUCAACCAACAAUCAAGCUUUAUACAACGACUAUGAUGAUGAAUUCCAUGACAAAUGCAGAGCCUGAAUCUGAUGAAUGAAUGAAGCCUGUGCAUUAUGGAUUGCGAAAAUGCUUAGAAAAGGGAUUUGUAGCAAGAUGAUGCAGCUCAGGAUGCCAAAGAAAGGUGAAUUGAGCACAUUGUCCUGGAAUACGUGAAUGCACAGCUCAUGAGCAAAGGUCCUGCCUCAGCCAAUAGAAGGUAAUCCCAAGUAUUGACAUGUUAGUUGUCGUUCCUGCUGGUAUUAAUCCACGGUUUCUCUUAGACAAUCUUUGAUUAAUUUUUGAUGUCUUUGCCUUGUUGUGCCUCCUUGCAAUUAGUAUGAUUAUUAUGGAGGUUCAAUCUACCAGCCCGAGUGUACAAAUAAAAAAUAUUAGAUAUUUGGGUUAGAUUUAAGAUGGCUUCAGAUACAUGAAUGGACAAGGGAAACUUGCAACCAUUCAGGAGUGGCAAUAGAUUUCUUUUUUCGUACUACCAUGUAGAGCUCCCAGUUUUUUGUCUUGCCAAUAAAGUUUGUAUGUUUAUGAUA